RNAcentral lists this ribosomal RNA (1551 nucleotides) under Salmonella enterica subsp. enterica serovar 1,4,[5],12:i:-. RNAcentral describes it as "bacterial SSU rRNA". It matches the Rfam family "Bacterial small subunit ribosomal RNA". Lineage: Bacteria; Pseudomonadati; Pseudomonadota; Gammaproteobacteria; Enterobacterales; Enterobacteriaceae. The record is from RNAcentral.
AAAUUGAAGAGUUUGAUCAUGGCUCAGAUUGAACGCUGGCGGCAGGCCUAACACAUGCAAGUCGAACGGUAACAGGAAGCAGCUUGCUGCUUUGCUGACGAGUGGCGGACGGGUGAGUAAUGUCUGGGAAACUGCCUGAUGGAGGGGGAUAACUACUGGAAACGGUGGCUAAUACCGCAUAACGUCGCAAGACCAAAGAGGGGGACCUUCGGGCCUCUUGCCAUCAGAUGUGCCCAGAUGGGAUUAGCUUGUUGGUGAGGUAACGGCUCACCAAGGCGACGAUCCCUAGCUGGUCUGAGAGGAUGACCAGCCACACUGGAACUGAGACACGGUCCAGACUCCUACGGGAGGCAGCAGUGGGGAAUAUUGCACAAUGGGCGCAAGCCUGAUGCAGCCAUGCCGCGUGUAUGAAGAAGGCCUUCGGGUUGUAAAGUACUUUCAGCGGGGAGGAAGGUGUUGUGGUUAAUAACCGCAGCAAUUGACGUUACCCGCAGAAGAAGCACCGGCUAACUCCGUGCCAGCAGCCGCGGUAAUACGGAGGGUGCAAGCGUUAAUCGGAAUUACUGGGCGUAAAGCGCACGCAGGCGGUCUGUCAAGUCGGAUGUGAAAUCCCCGGGCUCAACCUGGGAACUGCAUUCGAAACUGGCAGGCUUGAGUCUUGUAGAGGGGGGUAGAAUUCCAGGUGUAGCGGUGAAAUGCGUAGAGAUCUGGAGGAAUACCGGUGGCGAAGGCGGCCCCCUGGACAAAGACUGACGCUCAGGUGCGAAAGCGUGGGGAGCAAACAGGAUUAGAUACCCUGGUAGUCCACGCCGUAAACGAUGUCUACUUGGAGGUUGUGCCCUUGAGGCGUGGCUUCCGGAGCUAACGCGUUAAGUAGACCGCACGGGAGUACGGCCGCAAGGUUAAAACUCAAAUGAAUUGACGGGGGCCCGCACAAGCGGUGGAGCAUGUGGUUUAAUUCGAUGCAACGCGAAGAACCUUACCUGGUCUUGACAUCCACAGAAGAAUCCAGAGAUGGAUUUGUGCCUUCGGGAACUGUGAGACAGGUGCUGCAUGGCUGUCGUCAGCUCGUGUUGUGAAAUGUUGGGUUAAGUCCCGCAACGAGCGCAACCCUUAUCCUUUGUUGCCAGCGAUUAGGUCGGGAACUCAAAGGAGACUGCCAGUGAUAAACUGGAGGAAGGUGGGGAUGACGUCAAGUCAUCAUGGCCCUUACGACCAGGGCUACACACGUGCUACAAUGGCGCAUACAAAGAGAAGCGACCUCGCGAGAGCAAGCGGACCUCAUAAAGUGCGUCGUAGUCCGGAUUGGAGUCUGCAACUCGACUCCAUGAAGUCGGAAUCGCUAGUAAUCGUGGAUCAGAAUGCCACGGUGAAUACGUUCCCGGGCCUUGUACACACCGCCCGUCACACCAUGGGAGUGGGUUGCAAAAGAAGUAGGUAGCUUAACCUUCGGGAGGGCGCUUACCACUUUGUGAUUCAUGACUGGGGUGAAGUCGUAACAAGGUAACCGUAGGGGAACCUGCGGUUGGAUCACCUCCUUACCUUAAAGAA